Molecule: ribosomal RNA, 380 nt
Filed under: Stannophyllum zonarium
Lineage: Eukaryota; Foraminifera; Stannomidae
Description: partial 18S ribosomal RNA
Rfam family: Eukaryotic small subunit ribosomal RNA
Source: RNAcentral
AAGGGCACCACAAGAACGCGUGGAGCAUGUGGCUUAACUUGACUCAACGCGGGAAAUCUUACCAGGUCCAGACACACUGAGGAUUGACAGGUAUAUUUUAUUUAUUUUUUGUAUUUAGUUACAUUUAAAUAUGUGAGUUCUUUCAUUAUUUUGUGGAAAGUGGUGCAUGGCCGUUUUUAGUUCGUGAAGUGAUUUGUUUGUUUAACUGCACUUCUUAUAGUAUUUGGAUUAGAAAGUUGUUAUUUAAUAUAUGUAUUUUUAUUAGAUGUUUUGGUAUUUUUGAUAUAUUUUUGUUUUAGUAGUAUUGUUAUUGAUAUAUUUAAGUAUGUAUUUAUUUUUCAAAUUUUUUGUUUGAAUGCUGAUAGCAACGAACGUGACCG